CCUACGGGCGGCAGCAGUGAGGAAUAUUGGUCAAUGGCCGCAAGGCUGAACCAGCCAAGUCGCGUGAGGGAUGACGGUCCUAUGGAUUGUAAACCUCUUUUGCCAGGGAGCAAAGGGCGCCACGUGUGGCGUUUUGCGAGUACCUGAAGAUAAAGCAUCGGCUAACUCUGUGCCAGCAGCCGCGGUAAUACGGAGGAUGCGAGCGUUAUCCGGAUUUAUUGGGUUUAAAGGGUGCGUAGGCGGAAGGUUAAGUCAGCGGCCAAAUGUCGGUGCUCAACACCGGCCUGCCGUUGAAACUGGUCUUCUUGAGUGAGCGAGAGGUAUGCGGAAUGCGUGGUGUAGCGGUGAAAUGCAUAGAUAUCACGCAGAACUCCGAUUGCGAAGGCAGCAUACCGGCGCGCAACUGACGCUCAUGCACGAAAGCGUGGGUAUCGAACAGGAUUAGAUACCCGAGUAGUC
RNAcentral lists this ribosomal RNA (459 nucleotides) under uncultured bacterium. RNAcentral's name for it is "partial 16S ribosomal RNA". It matches the Rfam family "Bacterial small subunit ribosomal RNA", at positions 338 to 795 of the family's 1533-position model. The record is from RNAcentral.